This is a long non-coding RNA of Hydractinia symbiolongicarpus, 744 nucleotides long. RefSeq lists it as uncharacterized. Lineage: Eukaryota; Metazoa; Cnidaria; Hydrozoa; Anthoathecata; Hydractiniidae. The transcript has 2 exons. The record is from RefSeq and is a predicted model, not a curated record.
AUUAAAAGAAAGAAUGACGUGUCGUGAUGGUGUAGUGCACGUCGAUAUUGAGCCUGGUGUUGAUACUUCUGAAGAAAAAGACUGGUUGCAGAAAAAUCCCAAGACAUUCAGAAUUAUUUAGUUGAGAUUUUGAUACUCAGUGACCUGCAGCUAGGUUGAGUAUAAACAAAGCAAGACUUUAAAUAAUUCAAUGUCCCACACCAGGUCAAAUAUGUUUUGCAUCGUCUUAGAGUAUUCAAAUUUUUAAUUAAAAUUAGUUCUUAUUUUUUGACAGAAACUUUACUUUCUUCUAUAAAAUUAUUUGUAAAAAGAAAAGCAUUCAAAGUAUUAUUAUUUGCCUUUGUCUUCAUAUUGUUUUUUCAAACGUAAAAAACAGCUUCUAAAUUCAAUAGUUAAGUAUAAUAUAUUCAAGGGGGGUUGUUGCAUUUUGUUUCGUAUGCUGUCUGGCUUAUAUUAUUAAUAAUAACAACAAAACAAUAAAAUUUGCAUGCAGCGUACAAGACCUACUACCAAAUAACUAUGGGAAUUUAAUAUUUAAAUACCGCAGAUUAUUUGAUAAGUAUUUUACGUUACAGAUGUAUCAUAAUCAUAGUAAUAUCUCUCUACACCAUUAUUAGAAUUACACUGAGUUGGAGAUGAAAGAUGAAAAGUUGUCUUGGGUGUCUUUCCAGUGAGUUUUUUUUUUGGUUAUUAAGCUUGUACUGUCAUCUAAUUGUUCUCUUAAUUUUAAUUUCAUUAUUUUUG